AUUGAACGCUGGCGGCAUGCCUUACACAUGCAAGUCGAACGGCAGCACGGGUGCUUGCACCUGGUGGCGAGUGGCGAACGGGUGAGUAAUACAUCGGAACAUGUCCUGUAGUGGGGGAUAGCCCGGCGAAAGCCGGAUUAAUACCGCAUACGAUCUACGGAUGAAAGCGGGGGACCUGCGGGCCUCGCGCGAUAGGGUUGGCCGAUAGCUGAUUAGCUAGUUGGUGGGGUAAAGGCCUACCAAGGCGACGAGCAGUAGCUGGUCUGAGAGGACGACCAGCCACCCUGGGACUGAGACACGGCCCAGACUCCUACGGGAGGCAGCAGUGGGGAAUUUUGGACAAUGGGCGAAAGCCUGAUCCAGCAAUGCCGCGUGUGUGAAGAAGGCCUUCGGGUUGUAAAGCACUUUUGUCCGGAAAGAACUCCUUGGCUCUAAUACAGUCGGGGGAUGACGGUACCGGAAGAAUAAGCACCGGCUAACUACGUG
This 486-nucleotide ribosomal RNA is filed under the name uncultured bacterium. RNAcentral's name for it is "partial 16S ribosomal RNA". It matches the Rfam family "Bacterial small subunit ribosomal RNA", at positions 30 to 507 of the family's 1533-position model. The record is from RNAcentral.